ACUCUGCAUAGACAACCAAUCCCUCACAUCCAUACGGUUUCUAUGCGAGCAUAUACAGCUUUCCAGAAGCCUUCAGAUUUUUUUAACUAGGUUGUCUCGAUGCAAAUAUUCUGCAAGAAGAAGCUUUAGGAGUGAGAGAGAAAUAAACAAUGCCGAGAGGGAAAAUGGAGUUGUCAAAGAAGGAUAUCUUGAUGGAGAAUGGUGCUGACUGUCCAGGGGUCCCACUGGAGUGGUUUGUGUCUCUCAUGGGGAGGAAGAUGUCGGCAGAAGAUCCAUAUGAGAAGACGAGGCAGAUCUUCAGUGCAUUUGAUGUACACUGUCAUGCCUUCUUGAAGCUGGAUGACUUCAAAAGCAUUUUCAAGCGAGUUGCCCCUCAUCUGCUGGAGAGGACUGUGUUAGAGGGUUUCUGUACACCCCUCAUGUCCAUGGCUAGAAGCCCUAUAGGGUCUAUCCGCAUCUAUAUCUGAGACCAUCUCUGGCUUUCCUCCCUGACAAACCCCCACUCACAUUGCUGAUCUCAAAGGCUUACAUUGUUCCUGACAUUUGCUGCAGUGCUCCACAUUUGAAUUUCCUCCCAAGCAUGUGUUGACUUUUCGAGAGGGGGUGAGCGAGAUGAAGUGUUAAUGGAGACGAUGUGGAACCCUGGUGAUGUCCCAUCAGUUCACAGGCCCGGCUCACGCAGGAGAGCAUCAGUCCUACUAAUCAGCAGCAAGAGCCACGCACAUGGAAAGCUGCCAUCCUUACCUCUUCAAUACUAGGGUCAUUUCAUCCCCAGCAGGGCUUCCUCAUAUGGAACCUCAUUUCUCCUCUGGAUUUCUCAUCUGUACCUGACUGGGCUCAGAUACUCCACGCCCACUCUCUCCGCUGAGCUUUAAAGUCCUGCUGUAUAACCCAAAAAUUUUACACUUGAUUUGUAACCGUGGCUCCUUCUGUAGACAUGAGCAAAAAUCGACUUUUGAUAUUAUGGUAAUUCGGUAGCAGGAGUUCUGUUUUGUCUUGGAGAGUGCACUCUCGCCGCUUUUUCCCCGUCCUUGGUGCGGAGCCAGUGCCUUGAUCUGGAACCUUCUAUGUUUAUGCAAUGUGGUAAAAUUGAUACUAGACAAGAUCGCUCACAGCAAUAAACAGUAUUGGGAAAAAUUAAGAAUAGAAUUUGCUAUCUAUCCAUCCGUCCAUCUGUCUGUCUGUCUGAUUCCUCUCUUCGUCUGUCUGUAGGGAUCUCCAUAAAUGAGACCGAGGCUAUACACAGCUCAAUGUAAGCCAACGAUCCUAUACAUUCAAGAUACAUAUGAAACAGCUAACGAUGCAAUGCGAUUCACCCCAGUUAUGAUGCAGUGCGAUCCGAUUCAACACAAUGCGAUUCAAUGUAAUACGAUGCAAUGGGAAAAAAUAUGAUGCUAUGCAAUAUUCAAUAUGGUAGAUAGUUCGCAAGCAACUACACAAGUAGCUACACAAAUACUAUAUAAAGGUAUGCACAAUAUACUAGUGAAAAAAAAGCAAAAACUCAAUACAUAUGUCAUAAUCCUACAGGAGGCAAAAAAUUAUGUAUAUAAAUUAAACAAUAUUAUCGAGUAAUAAUCUUACAAAUCAACAACAGCCCAGCAAAUAAAAUUAAAUAUCACUCACCACUUAAAUGGCUUCUUCCUGUUCUUCUUAA
This is an RNA transcript of Carassius auratus (goldfish), 1654 nucleotides long. It is a transcript of the gene named EF-hand calcium-binding domain-containing protein 11-like, with no coding region annotated. The transcript has 6 exons. The record is from RefSeq and is a predicted model, not a curated record. NCBI's taxonomy places the organism in Eukaryota, Metazoa, Chordata, Actinopteri, Cypriniformes, Cyprinidae.